UKCGACUGCGGAAGGAUCAUUAGAGAUGCCGAAAGGCUUUCCAAACACCUGUGCAACCCGGCCUCGGGAGAAGGACGCCCUCUGGGUUCCGACGACCGGGGCCUCCCACACAAACAGCUGUCAUGAACGUAAACUAUUGUAAUCAGAAACAACUUUCAACAACGGAUCUCUUGGCUCUCGCAUCGAUGAAGAACGCAGCGAAAUGCGAUAAGUAAUGUGAAUUGCAGAAUUCAGUGAAUCAUCGAAUCUUUGAACGCACCUUGCGCCUUUUGGUAUUCCGAAAGGCAUGCCUGUUUGAGUGUCAUGUAGACUCAACCCCCUGGGUUUUUUGACCCGGGGUGCGUUGGAUUUGGGCCUUGCCUUUUGCCGGGCUGGCCUCAAAGCCGUUAGUGGGACCUCCCGCGCAGACGUUGUAAGCAUUCGUCGGACUGCGGGCCCGCUCAUAACCCCCAAUGAAAAUCUUUCAUUUUGCACUCUGGCCUCAAAUCAGGUAGGGCUACCCGCUGAACUUAAGCAUAUCA
Molecule: ribosomal RNA, 521 nt
Filed under: uncultured Tremella
Lineage: Eukaryota; Fungi; Basidiomycota; Tremellomycetes; Tremellales; Tremellaceae
Description: eukaryotic LSU rRNA
Source: RNAcentral